This 997-nucleotide ribosomal RNA is filed under the name Salmonella enterica. Its description in RNAcentral is "partial 23S ribosomal RNA". It matches the Rfam family "Bacterial large subunit ribosomal RNA", at positions 741 to 1735 of the family's 2925-position model. Lineage: Bacteria; Pseudomonadati; Pseudomonadota; Gammaproteobacteria; Enterobacterales; Enterobacteriaceae. The record is from RNAcentral.
CAGGUUGAAGGUUGGGUAACACUAACUGGAGGACCGAACCGACUAAUGUUGAAAAAUUAGCGGAUGACCUGUGGCUGGGGGUGAAAGGCCAAUCAAACCGGGAGAUAGCUGGUUCUCCCCGAAAGCUAUUUAGGUAGCGCCUCGUGAAUUCAUCUCCGGGGGUAGAGCACUGUUUCGGCUAGGGGGCCAUCCCGGCUUACCAACCCGAUGCAAACUGCGAAUACCGGAGAAUGUUAUCACGGGAGACACACGGCGGGUGCUAACGUCCGUCGUGAAGAGGGAAACAACCCAGACCGCCAGCUAAGGUCCCAAAGUCAUGGUUAAGUGGGAAACGAUGUGGGAAGGCCCAGACAGCCAGGAUGUUGGCUUAGAAGCAGCCAUCAUUUAAAGAAAGCGUAAUAGCUCACUGGUCGAGUCGGCCUGCGCGGAAGAUGUAACGGGGCUAAACCAUGCACCGAAGCUGCGGCAGCGACGCUGAUGCGUUGUUGGGUAGGGGAGCGUUCUGUAAGCCUGUGAAGGUGGCCUGUGAGGGUUGCUGGAGGUAUCAGAAGUGCGAAUGCUGACAUAAGUAACGAUAAAGCGGGUGAAAAGCCCGCUCGCCGGAAGACCAAGGGUUCCUGUCCAACGUUAAUCGGGGCAGGGUGAGUCGACCCCUAAGGCGAGGCCGAAAGGCGUAGUCGAUGGGAAACGGGUUAAUAUUCCCGUACUUGGUGUUACUGCGAAGGGGGGACGGAGAAGGCUAUGUUGGCCGGGCGACGGUUGUCCCGGUUUAAGCGUGUAGGUGUGUGUUCCAGGUAAAUCCGGUUCACUUUAACACUGAGGCGUGAUGACGAGGCACUACGGUGCUGAAGCAACAAAUGCCCUGCUUCCAGGAAAAGCCUCUAAGCAUCAGGUAACAUCAAAUCGUACCCCAAACCGACACAGGUGGUCAGGUAGAGAAUACCAAGGCGCUUGAGAGAACUCGGGUGAAGGAACUAGGCAAAAUGGUGCCGUAACU